GACGAACGCUGGCGGCGUGCCUAAUACAUGCAAGUUGAGCGCUGAAGGUUGGUCCUUGUACCAACUGGAUGAGCAGCGAACGGGUGAGUAACGCGUGGGGAAUCUGCCUUUGAGCGGGGGACAACAUUUGGAAACGAAUGCUAAUACCGCAUAAAAACUUUAAACACAAGUUUUAAGUUUGAAAGAUGCAAUUGCAUCACUCAAAGAUGAUCCCGCGUUGUAUUAGCUAGUUGGUGAGGUAAAGGCUCACCAAGGCGAUGAUACAUAGCCGACCUGAGAGGGUGAUAGGCCACAUUGGGACUGAGACACGGCCCAAACUCCUACGGGAGGCAGCAGUAGGGAAUCUUCGGCAAUGGACGAAAGUCUGACCGAGCAACGCCGCGUGAGUGAAGAAGGUUUUCGGAUCGUAAAACUCUGUUGGUAGAGAAGAACGUUGGUGAGAGUGGAAAGCUCAUCAAGUGACGGUAACUACCCAGAAAGGGACGGCUAACUACGUG
This 497-nucleotide ribosomal RNA is filed under the name uncultured bacterium. RNAcentral describes it as "partial 16S ribosomal RNA". It matches the Rfam family "Bacterial small subunit ribosomal RNA", at positions 28 to 507 of the family's 1533-position model. The record is from RNAcentral.